CAGCCAUGCCGCGUGUGUGAAGAAGGCCUUUUGGUUGUAAAGCACUUUAAGCGAGGAGGAGGCUACCGAGAUUAAUACUCUUGGAUAGUGGACGUUACUCGCAGAAUAAGCACCGGCUAACUCUGUGCCAGCAGCCGCGGUAAUACAGAGGGUGCAAGCGUUAAUCGGAUUUACUGGGCGUAAAGCGCGCGUAGGUGGCCAAUUAAGUCAAAUGUGAAAUCCCCGAGCUUAACUUGGGAAUUGCAUUCGAUACUGGUUGGCUAGAGUAUGGGAGAGGAUGGUAGAAUUCCAGGUGUAGCGGUGAAAUGCGUAGAGAUCUGGAGGAAUACCGAUGGCGAAGGCAGCCAUCUGGCCUAAUACUGACACUGAGGUGCGAAAGCAUGGGGAGCAAACAGGAUUAGAUACCCUGGUAGUCCAUGCCGUAAACGAUGUCUACUAGCCGUUGGGGCCUUUGAGGCUUUAGUGGCGCAGCUAACGCGAUAAGUAGACCGCCUGGG
This 497-nucleotide ribosomal RNA is filed under the name Acinetobacter sp. 7Bf4S46. RNAcentral describes it as "bacterial SSU rRNA". It matches the Rfam family "Bacterial small subunit ribosomal RNA", at positions 389 to 877 of the family's 1533-position model. Lineage: Bacteria; Pseudomonadati; Pseudomonadota; Gammaproteobacteria; Moraxellales; Moraxellaceae. The record is from RNAcentral.